Molecule: ribosomal RNA, 497 nt
Filed under: uncultured bacterium
Lineage: Bacteria
Description: partial 16S ribosomal RNA
Rfam family: Bacterial small subunit ribosomal RNA
Source: RNAcentral
GACGAACGCUGGCGGCGUGCCUAAUACAUGCAAGUCGAGCGCUGAAGGUUGGUACUUGUACCAACUGGGUGAGCAGCGGACGGGUGAGUAACGCGUGGGGAAUCUGCCUUUGAGAGGGGGACAACAUUUGGAAACGAAUGCUAAUACCGCAUAAAAUCUUUAAACACAUGUUUUAAUAUUGAAAGACGCAAUUGCUUCACUCAAUGAUGGUCCCGCGGUGUAUUAGCUAGUUGGUGAGGUAAAGGUCCACCAAGGGGAUGAUACAUAGCCGACCUGAGAGGGGGAGCGGGCAAAAUGGGAACGGGACAACGCCCAAACCCCCUCGGGAAGGAGCAGGAGGGGAUCUUCCGCAAUGGGCGAAAGGCUGACCGAGCAACCGCGCGUGGGGGAAGAAGGGUUUCGGAUUGGAAAAAUCCGGUGGUAAGGAAGAAAGUUGGGGGGAGUGAAAAGCGCAUCAAGUGACGGUAACUACUCAGAAAGGGACGGCUAACUACGUG